Molecule: long non-coding RNA, 3924 nt
Organism: Heterocephalus glaber (naked mole-rat)
Lineage: Eukaryota; Metazoa; Chordata; Mammalia; Rodentia; Bathyergidae
Source: Ensembl
GAAGAAUGUGGCCAGAAGCUCCAGGGGGGACAGGGCACUGCAGACCUUGGGAGCUCAGGCUGACGCUGAGGCUGUGGCACCAUCACCUGGCUUGUGAGGUCUGGAAAGGGAAGACUGGAGGGUGCAGGGAGAGGGAGGACAUGGGCCUGGGGGCUAGAGGAGGGGGCCACGUUGGCACAGAGGGGCUCCCUAGGCAGAGGACACAGGUUGGAUGGCACCCGUGCAGCUGGCACCAGGGCUGGGGCCUGGCACCUGGUCAGCUGACUGCAGGGUGCGGAAGGGGUAUGGUGUGGGCCCUGCUGGGUCAGGACCGGCUGUUAUGGCACAGUGUGGGAGGUGUAGGGUGUAGGUGUGGAGGAGCAGGUCAGGGCACAGGGUCGGUGGGUGCAGCAUGAGGGUUGCAGGCUAGGGUAGGCUGAAAGGUCAGGCUGCAGAGCCCGCUGGGUUGGACAGUCCAGGGACGGAUGGCCCAUUUCCCGGGGCACUCUGUGGCCUGGUCACUGAAGACCCUCUGGGCCUCUCCCUCUCUGGGGGGUCCUGGGGGUUUAGACCUUCCGUUCGGGUCACCAGGGAGAUCAGUGGGCCUUCUUUGGGAGCUGAGUCCCCAUUGGCCCACGGAUUCCCCUCUCAGUCUUGCCCAGGGGAGGGAGGAAGGAGGAAGAAGACUGCUCCGCCUUGGAGCCCUUUUCAACAGCAGUAGCAUGGGUGGGCAGGCUUCUGUGCUGUCACUGCCCCUCUUCCCCUCUGACUCUGCCACUGACCCGCCACCUGCCCCUGGGCUCCAGCUGCACACGGAAUGUGCCGAGUCUAGAGGCCAGGACUGUGUGGCUUUGCAAGACAGGCAAUAUCUGAGGAAUCGGCCUUCAGUUUCCCAGUGCGUGACCCCCGCAAGGUCUCUUGGGGUGGGGGGGGGGCUCUCACAGCCAAAGGAGGCCUCCCUAUGGCUUCUCAGUUGGAGACGGGAAGCUGGGUUUCCUGCCAGGUUUCCUGCAAAACUAGAUAUGGAGGACUUAAGGGAACUGCUGUACAAAAACCCUGGCAGGCAAAUGGAAGGCAGACGAUGGGGAAAAUCUGAGCAGGGCUGUGCAGCGCAGAGCCUCGGAGGCACGCCCAAGGCCUCCUCGAUUGUGCAUUUGCCACGGUAUUCUUCUGGAGCCCCUCACCCCCAGCGAGCUGAGUCUCCACUUGUACCGCCUGCCUGGGGCCCGUGGCCCUCAAGCUGCGCUCGCUGUGGGCAGGGGCUUGGCCAUCUGGCCUCUUGCCAGAGGAGUGGUGCACUCGAGGAUUACAGCUGCGUCCCAUCCCCACGAGGGCCAGCUAUCCAGGAAGCUCUCCGUCUGCACUGGGCACAGCGUGGGAAGCCCCUUCACCGCAUGUUCAACCAGAAGAGCUGUGGGGGAGUCUGUGGCAAUCCUGUGUGGGCGCGAGGAUUGGGAAAGACGCUUAGGUGCUGCAGGGAGCCGUGAGCAAGCGGAAGAGCUGCCAGGGGGGACCCCAGACCCUGCCCCGUGACUGUGCUGGAGCACUGGGCUGGCUGGGUCUUGCUGCCCUCUCCUGCCCCUCUGAGGGCCGCCAGGGGCGGACAGUUCGCUUCAGCUGCAGCCUGGGCCGUCUGGGACUUGCCGGCCACCCCUUGCCACGUGCUGCUCACCGGGCAGGCCCAUGACCCCACGCAGGGGCCCAGAUGUCCCGAGCCGCCUCCCUGCCAGGCGGCGGAGUAGCCCUGAAGCCACGUGCCCCGUCACCGGUGUCUGGUGCUCCCUGUCCACCUGCCCUCCCCUAAGCCCCUGCGUCACCACCGUUCCAUUUUCAACUGGAGAACUGGGACACUAGAAGCCUCCCGGUCCCUGUCCCCUCUGCGGUGCAGAGGCCGCCGCGGGGCUCGCUUUUGUGAUGCCGGAAGGUUUGGCCAACAUUUUCAUACAAGUCCAGCUGACGGUGCUGAGGAGGCCAGCGCUCUGCCCGGGAGGCGGCUGGCUGGGGCUAGGCGCACUCGGCGGGCCUGGGAGCACAGAGCCAGUCCUGAGGCUGGGACCUGGGCUUGCGGGGCAGAGCCGCCAGUCUAGUCCUCUCCCGGCCUCGCCCUCGGCCCCGCCCAGUGCUCUGGCUUCCCGCAGUGGCUCUCACCUAUGGGCCCGGCAGAUCCUGCCGCCGCACCCCAGGCAUCCAGGAAGGCGGCUGUGCGAUCGGGGCUGGGUCCGCCAGGAGGCAGGGGGCCGCGCCCCGUGGAGGGCGCCCCCGGAGUGGCCGCGGGUCGGCGCUGCCUGUCACCCGCACCUGGCUGUCCCCACCGACCCUGCCGGAUUCUCGCUCAAACUGGGCCUCCCCAUGGGCCUCCGGCGGCACCGCAGCCUGACGCCCGCCUGGGGCGUGGAGCCCUUCCUCAGGAGGCGCCUGCGUGUCUGUCCUUUUGGGACAAGAUCUGGCCGGCGGAGGAGCCAGAGGACGACGUCCCGGCGGCGCCGGGCCCCGACGCUGAGCCGCGAGCGCAGCUCUUCCGCGCGCUCCGCGACUUCGCGGCUCGCUGCCGCGGGGACCGGGAGGCGAACUGCGUCUUCGCCCGCGGGCUCUCCGGCCGACCCAGCGCCGGGCUGGUGCCCAUCACCUACGCGGCCGCGGCUGCUCCGGAGACGCUUGCAGAGCAGCCCCCAGCUACAGAAUAACUCCAGUUUGGCGUCCAGUCGCAACUGAGACUUCAGUGGUCCAGUGAUGCUGUGAUUCUCCAGGACAAGAAACAUCCUGGGAGCUGAAAACACCCUGGGAGAACAAACAUCUGCUCAGUUCCUCAUUGUUCUUGGACUGUUAACAUCUUCUUUACCCAGGAUGUACUUGAACUCUCUGCAAGCCUUUUGUUACACCUUGUUUAUCCCAAUGUGAACUAUUGAACUCUAUAUUUCAUUUGUUACAUUUGUUUCUCCCGAUGUACUGAAUAGAAGGUGUGGUAAGCUGGGGGCUUUUGUCUUUGUUUCCCAGAGCAGCACUGAUCAGACCCAAAGCUCAGCUUCUUCUCAGUCUCAUUUGUCUACCUUUCCUGUAAUUCGCUGUGUGCUGCUGUAGCUCACAGGAGACCAGGACUCACUGCAGAGGUUCUGCCGGUACUUGAGUGGGAUCAGCCGGUCCCACGCCCAGCAGCUCCUCUUGUGCCCUGCCAGCGAACCAGGGGCCUUCCUUAAUCGGCCCAGAGAGAGCAGCCUCGGGGGCUUCUCACUCUCAGUCCUAGCCAAGGCCAAAGUCUGCCACUACCGAAUUUGUACAGCGCCCCCGCAGCAGCCUCUACCUACAGGAGGGCCAGCGAGCCUUCCCCAGUCUGGAGGAGCUGCACGCCUACUACAAGGCCAACUGGAAGCUGACCUAGAACCCCCUGCUGCAGCCCUGUGUGCCCCAGAAGCCCCCGGCACAGGACAAGUGGGAGCGGCCACGCUCGGAAUUUGUCCUCUGGAGGAAGUUGGUGAAGGCUGCUUUGGGGAGGGUGUGGGAAGGCCUGUGGCUGGGCUCUGUGCCUCUAGUGGUCAGCGUCAUCAAGCCAGGUGAGGCGGUGCUACCCCAAGUCCCCCAGCCAGGCCUGGGCCAAUGCCCACUGCCCUCUGACCCUGGGGACGCCAGGGGCAGGGGCAGCGGUGGCCUGGGCAGUCCUGGAGCAGAGGCCUCUCCUGCAGCUGACAUGAAGCUGGCCGGAAUUCACCAAGGAGAUCGCGGCUCUGAAGAGCCUGCGUGCAUGAGCGGCUCAUGUGGCUGCAUGUGGUGUGCUUUCCACAGGGGAGCCCGUGUAUAUCAUCACUGAGGUCCUGUGCAAGGGCAGCCUGCAGGCGUACCUGGGCAGUGGCCGAGGCCAUGAGCUACUUGGAGGGAGUGGCACAUCGUCCACCGAGACCUGGCCGCCAGGAAUGUGCUCGUGGGCAAUGACCUCACCUUUGGCCUGGCCCG